Long non-coding RNA from Chiloscyllium plagiosum (whitespotted bambooshark), 3473 nucleotides. RefSeq lists it as uncharacterized. The record is from RefSeq and is a predicted model, not a curated record. Lineage: Eukaryota; Metazoa; Chordata; Chondrichthyes; Orectolobiformes; Hemiscylliidae.
CUCCUGGGUCGGCUGUGCAACAUAAUGCUUGAUGAAAUAAUCCCUGAGGUACUCUACAGAUUUGUCUUUUAUUGUUAAUCACUACAAGGCACAAGGGGAAUCACAAAUUAACCUCCUCAUGGAAUACGAGUUCUCUUGGUAAUAGGCAAUGGCCUGCCCAGCUGGAAUUCAGAAAGAAGUAAUGAAGCAGAUGCAAGCCUCAAAUCACACCUGCUCCAGAGGUGUAGAAGAACUUCUCUGAACAGGUUGACUUAAAAAAUAGGUGAAAUAAACAUUUUGAGAGCCCUCUUGUGGUGCAGAGGUGUUGUCUCUACCCCAGACCAGGAGGCAUGGGUUCAAGUCCCACCUGCUUCAGGCAAUUGAAAAAAAAACAAGGCCAAGAGUGUGGCACUGGAAAAGCACAGCAGGUCAGGCUCUUUCCCGAAACAUCCAUUCUUCUGCUCCUUGAAUGCUGCCUGAUCUGCUGCACUUUUCCAGCACCACACUUCCACUCCGAUCGCCAACAUCUGCAGUACUCACUUCCUCCGAAACGAAAAAAAGCAAACCAAGCCCCCUCCGACUCUAUUCUGAUUCAGUCUCUUCCCUUUUCACAAACCAGGGAUAGAUCUGCAGAACUGUCUAUCGCAGGAUUUGGACUAGCUUUUACACACCAUGAAUUGUAGCUCUAACUUGAUGUUCAACAGUAAACAAUUAUCCUUUCCAGUCAGAGCUAUUGCAUUUUCCACGUCACCCUUGCCAAUCCAAAUCAGCCUACUCCUGCCCUUAUUUCUUAACAACUCAGCUGAAAUUGCAGCACUGAAAUCACUCAGUGUGUUUUGGUAGUGAGCUCCUAGGAUUCAGAAAUGAAUCUCAUCAAAUUGUCAGUUUUAACCUUGCAGGUUCCUCUUUUGCCUUUGCAAGGUGAGAGUGGCCUGACAGGUACUGCUGGUUAAGGAAAUUAUGGGCUCACUCUGUUAGAUCUAGAAUAUUGGAUACCUGGUCCUAACAAGCAUCCUUUAAGUGCAGCAUUUGAAUAAUGCAAAUAGAGGGAACUACAUCACAAGAAUUGUCCUUAUCUGCAUCUGCCUUCAACAUAGCAACCUAAAUACCAUCUUCUAUCGGGGCGCUGCUGUUGAAGAUGGCACUAUUUAUCAACAUCAACUCUACAUUUGCAAUCCAAAAAUAUCGAGCUCAAGACCUGCUCUUAAAUACCCACCAUGAAACAAUUUCACCAUGUUACUAAUGACUGCGUCCUGGAACAAUAAUAACAAUCCAAAGCCAAAACUAUCAACACAGUUGAACUAUCAACAUGGACACAGUACACUAAAUAUGCAUCACUAAUAUGCUGACCUCGAUUGUUAAUUUUUAAUCUGCCAAAUUAACUAGGCAAUAUGCAACUGCAUAUCAGAGCUCUCUGGUUCAUCAACCCUGCCUGCCCCGUGCAAUUUCUGCAUUCAUGUUCUCUAGAACAAAGAGCUACACUACAGCGACUAACUUCUAAAAAUGAUGCACUCAAACGUUCAAAGAAACUCAACAAUUCUUUUCAGUUUUCAUAUUCAAAGCAGUAAAAAACUGAAAGAUUGAAUAACUACUUAAAGAAAAAUACACACGUGCUAUGUUACAAAACAUAAUGGUUCUGAAGUUAUGCAGUGAUUCACUUGAAAGUCUGAAAUCUUCAGCUAACUCCAGGAGCAACCGUCUUUUCAGCUGUUUUUAAUUGAUUUCUUCAAGAGUUCCAGUAACCAUCUUCCACAGUUAUAGCGGCAGAUGGGGAAAACUGAUGAUAAAAUUCAGCAUUGAUUUUAGGUAAUGGAACAAAUCCAAUGCGUUGUUUUUUUCAUUGUUUAAUUAAUUCAGGAACGCAGUCAGAUCAGCCAUGCCUUAGCAAGUCCCAGCAAGUUUACUUCAAUAACCUCAGCCAUCACCACAAUUCAACUCACAACAAACAUGAAAUAACAGUAGUUCACAAUGCCAAUAUAUGAUUGAUCAUUCCCCAACAACAGCACACAAAGAUCUUUGUCCUGAAAUGGUUUCCAUACACAUCAGCAAGUGUGCAUUAGAAAAUACAAAUGCAAGUCAAUAACACUAUGAGUACAGGUGUUUCCCUUUUCUUUGUGGUGACCAUGUUCAAAACUGCUGACAUCAAUCUUCUGUUGAAAAGUCCAUUCUUAUUGUGUCUGUUUACCUGGAGUCAAGGAGGUGGGGGAGUGGAUACCAGUGAAAUACACCAAGAAAAGGAAAGCCUACCAGGCCCCCAAAGCCUCACAGCAAAACAAAGAGACAGAUACAUGAGGAUGACACCAGCAGCUCAUCUGAUGGCAAAGAGGGCAAUCAUCAGAAAAAGAGGCAGAGCACCACACGGGAAAGAGAGAGAAGUAACCACUAACCCGGAAAUGACAGACCCUCCGAGGGGAGAAUCAGGGGUACCCACUGCACCACAGCUCCAGGCAACUGGGAUCUGUGAUCCUCUGACAGUCCCUCUGUCAGACUCAGAACUAAACUCUGCUGAGCUUGUUCUCACCUUGAUGACACCAGACUCGGGAAAUGGCCCCAGGGAGAAACUGGACAGCUAGCUCAAGCCUGCGAGGGUCCAACAGUUCACUCACACCACGGGGAUGUGGACAGUCUCCCCAGUGACAGGUCCAUUGGUGAAUGAACAUGGGUAACUUGAUAAAUUUUAAAACAGGUGUUAAAAUUGCCAGCGUUAACAUGCAUCACAUUAAAUCUUCCGCGCAAUGUGCUUCCAUGUUGGUUCUCCUAAAGCUUGGGACAGCUGCCACCAAGGUGCAGUGGGGAAAGACAACCGUGUAAGGUCCUUCUGCCAAAGAUGGAUGGGGGUUCAUUCAAUUAUUGGUCCCUGCUGACGCCUCAACUAAAUGCCAAGAGGUUGACGGUAGCAUUGGCAAGCAUUCAAUAGAAGUGGAAAACUGAGCCAACAAACAUCCCAUUCUUCGUUGACAUCCACACACACGUGUCGACCAAUAGACAGAGUAAUUAUCCAGAAACAGGAAACCUGAUUCAUUUUGGAGAAAUUUGAACAAUCUAUUACGUCCCAUCUGAAAUAAAACCAUCUGCUAGAUCAAGAUCGUCAGAGUCAACCACAUCGGGUGAGAUGAAGGUGCCAGAUUUCAAAAUUGAGAAAAUGAUGCUUUAGUUGUCCCCAGCCUUGGUCAGGCUCCGUACUGAGUACUGAAAGAGACACUUUGAACACACUGCUCCUUGGUUAUAAAGAUACUUUGGUAAAUUCACAAGAAUAACAUCAACAUCUGAGGAGUCAAAUUAUGAAGGAAAAGCGAAGUAUAAUGCCAGAGGAAAAACUGACCGGGUAAUGUACCACAACUGGUCCAAUCUGAUGUCAAUGGAGAAAGCAGGAUGGCAGCACAAGAGUGAAUGGAUAAUGAGGAACUUCGAUUACCCUGCAUUCGAUUAUCUGAAUAUCGGAUUAUCCGGCAAGAUCGCAAGGUCCUGAUGCUCGGCUAAACUAUGUUAUCCAG